Small nucleolar RNA from Gossypium raimondii (Peruvian cotton), 106 nucleotides. It matches the Rfam family "Plant small nucleolar RNA R71". From Rfam's summary of the family: R71 is a member of the C/D box family of snoRNAs containing the C (UGAUGA) and D (CUGA) box motifs. Multiple nearly identical copies of this snoRNA have been identified in Arabidopsis, and it is thought to function as a 2'-O-ribose methylation guide for 18S ribosomal RNA. Lineage: Eukaryota; Viridiplantae; Streptophyta; Magnoliopsida; Malvales; Malvaceae. The record is from Rfam.
AAUCCAUGGUGUGGGCACUUUCUUAGCAUAUCCUUGAAGCUUUCCUAAGUAUCGUACAUGGACUCACCUUCAUAUUGUUUAAAGUUGGUGAUUUCUCACCUAAUCU